UCCCAUGUGGUCUAGUGGCUAGGAUUCCUCGCUUUCACCGAGGCGGCCGGGGUUCGAUUCCCCGCAUGGGAA
Hypsibius dujardini is the source of this 72-nucleotide transfer RNA. It matches the Rfam family "tRNA". Rfam says of the family: Transfer RNA (tRNA) molecules are approximately 80 nucleotides in length. Lineage: Eukaryota; Metazoa; Tardigrada; Eutardigrada; Parachela; Hypsibiidae. The record is from Rfam.